GAUCAAAUCAAGCGCGAGAAGGGCGUUUGGUGGAUGCCUUGGCAGUAAGAGGCGAUGAAGGACGUGAUACUCUGCGAUAAGCCAUGGGGAGCU
RNAcentral lists this ribosomal RNA (93 nucleotides) under Rhodobacterales bacterium 34-62-10. RNAcentral's name for it is "partial 23S ribosomal RNA". It matches the Rfam family "Bacterial large subunit ribosomal RNA", at positions 1 to 87 of the family's 2925-position model. Lineage: Bacteria; Pseudomonadati; Pseudomonadota; Alphaproteobacteria; Rhodobacterales. The record is from RNAcentral.